Non-coding RNA from Nematostella vectensis (starlet sea anemone), 83 nucleotides. NCBI's taxonomy places the organism in Eukaryota, Metazoa, Cnidaria, Anthozoa, Actiniaria, Edwardsiidae. The record is from Rfam.
ACGAGGAAGGCCGAGUGAUGAAGGCUUUGGACUCAAGUGCCAAUGUACAAAUGUACGCUUGGGUUCCAACCCAAGUCCUGGUA